GGACAAAUUGGCUGCGACACCUGCCACACUGAUCACCAGGGUUAAUCCUGCUGAUCUGGCUGGCUAAGCAUGGCUUCCCUCAUCACUCCACAUUCAUCCUUUCAAAGCUGUGAACUCAGUGGAAGAGGAGGACCAUCCUUCAUGGAAGAGGACCAGUCUUAGGCCAAGAGUAUUUCACUGACUGUUCUUUCCUGAUAUAACUUCAAACAAGCUCUCAAUGACUGUCAUGAUUCAAAUUAGCUAUUCUGAAAGAUUGCUCAGGAUUUCUCACAUUUUCUAGUUUGCUCUUUAUCUGUUGUGUAUGUGGCAUUCACG
This 315-nucleotide small nuclear RNA is filed under the name Cricetulus griseus (Chinese hamster). Its description in RNAcentral is "7SK RNA". It matches the Rfam family "7SK RNA". Rfam says of the family: 7SK was discovered as an abundant small nuclear RNA in the mid-70s but a possible function has only recently been suggested. The record is from Rfam by way of RNAcentral. Lineage: Eukaryota; Metazoa; Chordata; Mammalia; Rodentia; Cricetidae.